CCAGAGACAGGCAUCCCCAGAAACAUCAGUCUCCAUCGAUGGCUCACAAAACCUAGUUUAUGAGACAGAACUCAGAGCCCAGCUUAAAGGAAAUUCACCAGAAGUAAUUAAGAAUUCAGCAGCUGAACAGCAAGUUCUCUCAGCUGCUGGAGGAGAAGAACACCCUCUCCAUCCAGCUCAGCGACACCAGCCAGAGUCUCCGCAAGAACCAGCAUCACUCCAGUGACCUCUCCAAGCACUGCGCUGUCCUGGAGAAGCAGGUGCAGGAGCUGCAGGAGGGGCCACCAAAUGUAGAUGAUGUUCCAGGAGUGCCCUAGGAAAUGAAUGGAAAGAGAAAGAGGGAUCCGGAGGCCACAAGGGAGCCACGACCAAGUUAGAGGAGCAGGAUUCGCCCUCCAUCCUACACUAUUGUCUGAAGUCCAGCAGCAGCUCUGCAGAAUGAAACAAGGAGUGAGUUACAGAAGCUGCUAGAAGAGCGAGACCAAAGAUUGGCCAUUGAGAAUGCACUCUUCUUGGCCGAGGAGCAGAUCAGAUGGCUGGAGCCGAGUGAAUGGGAUUCGGCCUGGACUCCUAUCAUUGGUGCCCGUGGCUCUCAGGAGACGUCAGUGUGGAUAGACAUCCUGGCAGCAGCUGCCGAAGCGUAAGAGGGAAGGACACAGGGAGAGCUCCGCUGUGGGAACGGGCUGAGACCCGGAGUGGAUGGAAGCGGGUCUGCAUUCACUCUGCCAUUUCCGGACCCGAGUGCCACUACUUGCAACCAUCUACUUCCUGAUGGUUCAUGUCCUCCUCAUCCUGUGUUUCACAGGUCAUCUAUAAACUCCUCACUCCACCACAGCUCUCAGAACUUGUAAUUCCUUCAUCUCUAAUGUCAGAUUUGUAGUUUUUAGAACAGUAUUCCCACUUCCAACCCAUCUGCAUCUCCUUGGAAAGUUUCCAUAACAACAGAGGUGGCUGUGAGGACAGGUUAGAACGCAAGGCCUAGUGCAUCCCUCCAUAGGGGUCCUGAAGCCACUUGGGAGCCGGAGCAUCACAACUUCUAGUCCCGAGAACCCCUGAGCUACAGCACGCGGUAUGAGUUAUUCUGUCUUCAACGCCAUUGUCACCUGCCUUUGUGAACAGGGCUGAGGCAAUGGGAAGAGAAGACAAAACACCUGAUCCAGACCUGAGAGCAUUGGUCACGAGUGACACCACUGUGCCUGUCCUCCCCUUGCUAACUGCCGGCUUUCUCAUUGUGGACAUGAUGUCUUCCCUUCUGUGCUCAUCACCUGAAGAAGGGAGAGGACUGGUGGUUCACUGAUCAGCUCUACCGUCUAUGGUGAUUACAUUUUAGUCACAACAUCCCAAGGACU
Long non-coding RNA from Microtus oregoni (creeping vole), 1349 nucleotides. RefSeq lists it as uncharacterized. Lineage: Eukaryota; Metazoa; Chordata; Mammalia; Rodentia; Cricetidae. The record is from RefSeq and is a predicted model, not a curated record. The transcript is spliced from 7 exons.